UGUUGACCUCGGAUCAGGUAGGAAUACCCGCUGAACCUAAGCAUAUC
RNAcentral lists this ribosomal RNA (47 nucleotides) under Fusarium verticillioides. Its description in RNAcentral is "partial 28S ribosomal RNA". The record is from RNAcentral. Lineage: Eukaryota; Fungi; Ascomycota; Sordariomycetes; Hypocreales; Nectriaceae. RNAcentral also lists the same sequence under 1 other name.